Molecule: long non-coding RNA, 893 nt
Organism: Hippocampus zosterae (dwarf seahorse)
Lineage: Eukaryota; Metazoa; Chordata; Actinopteri; Syngnathiformes; Syngnathidae
Exons: 2
Source: RefSeq, a predicted model, not a curated record
AUUUGUUCAACUUUUAUGACGCGCAUCGUUAUUAACAACGCAGCAUUACUUGUGUCUUUUUUUUUUAUGACACCGCCAGUGAGGAGUCAAGUUGCAGCCUAUCGGGUGCUAUGAGAAUGUUGGUAUCCUGUGCACAAUAAUAAUAAUAAUAACAAUAAUAAUAAUGACAAUGCAUCAGAUUUAUACGGCGCCGUUCUGGACACCGGACACUCAAAGCGCUCACAACGGAUACAUUAUUCAUGCAUUCGCACAUUCAUACUCUGCCGGCGGUAAGGAACAGCUCGCCAGUAUGACGGAAUGUACCGGUGCAAAGCAUAACUACAAUAACACUGCAGUACAUUUAAACGACCGGAUCAGAAAUGAGGAAGUGCCUUUCAGUGGCACAUUUUACAUGCAAAUCUCGUGUUGGAUUUAAGCGGCGGGUGCGCGCUCGCGCGCGUCCGUGCGUGCUUCCUGCACCAUAAUGAACGUUACGUCAUGCGAUCCCAUUCACUUUUUCCAUGAGGCUCCUCUCUGGGUAUUUGAAAUGCGAGCCAAGUAGUGCAGAGCGCUCGCUUGUGGAUCAAUGCGAAUGAAAUUUGAAUAUUUGUGCACUUGGGCAAAUGUGUAUGCACUUGAUGUGUGAGGGCCCACCUUGCAGACAAGCUCCUCGCCGCUGUGCAGGUGGAAGGAGGGUGUCGCUUGUCGUGCGGUAGGAAUGAAGGAAAGAAAGGACGGGGCCGGCUGAUUUUUCCCGGGCCUAUCCCUUGAUUUAGCAGGGCAUCCUCUCUCCCGUGACGCCGCGGUGCCUCUUCCCUGGGCUGGCUAGGAGGGGAGGGGAGAUGGUGGGAUAUCCUGCCUGGUUCCUUCAGUGCAGAGUAAAGCUGCACAGUGCACACUGACUAGAACGUCAC